CUACGGGCGGCAGCAGGCGCGAAACCUUUACAAUGCACGUAAGUGUGAUAAGGGAACCCCAAGUGCUCAUGUUAUGCAUGGGCUUUUGCCAAGAGCAAAAAUCUUGGCGAAUAAGUGGUGGGUAAGACGGGUGCCAGCCGCCGCGGUAACACCUGCGCCACAAGUGGCAACCAGUAUUAUUGGGCCUAAAGCGUCCGUAGCCGGUUUGAUAAAUCUUCUGUGAAAUUGUUGCGCUUAACGUAACAGCGUGCAAAAGAGACUGUCAGACUUGGAACCGGGAGGAGUCAGAAGUAUUUCUGGGGGAGCGGUAAAAUGCUAUAAUCCUAGAAGGACUGCCAGUGGCGAAGGCGUCUGACUAGAACGGCUUCGACGGUGAGGGACGAAAGCCAGGGGAGCAAUCCGGAUUAGAUACCCCGGUAGUC
This 422-nucleotide ribosomal RNA is filed under the name uncultured archaeon. RNAcentral describes it as "partial 16S ribosomal RNA". It matches the Rfam family "Archaeal small subunit ribosomal RNA", at positions 323 to 746 of the family's 1478-position model. The record is from RNAcentral.